This 444-nucleotide ribosomal RNA is filed under the name uncultured bacterium. RNAcentral describes it as "partial 16S ribosomal RNA". It matches the Rfam family "Bacterial small subunit ribosomal RNA", at positions 354 to 796 of the family's 1533-position model. The record is from RNAcentral.
GUGAGGAAUUUUCCGCAAUGGGCGAAAGCCUGACGGAGCAAUGCCGCGUGCAGGAAGACGGCCCUCUGGGUUGUAAACUGCUUUUAUCUGGGAAGAAAAAGGCCAUGCGUGGCAAAUUGCCGGUACCAGAUGAAUAAGCACCGGCUAACUCCGUGCCAGCAGCCGCGGUAAUACGGAGGGUGCGAGCGUUGUCCGGAUUUAUUGGGUUUAAAGGGUGCGUAGGCGGCUGAUUAAGUCAGCGGUGAAAGACUUCGGCUUAACCGGAGCAGUGCCAUUGAUACUGGUUGGCGUGAGUGUCGGAGGGGUACAUGGAAUUGAUGGUGUAGCGGUGAAAUGCAUAGAUACCAUCAGGAACACCGAUAGCGAAGGCAUUGUACUGGCCGACAACUGACGCUGAUGCACGAAAGUGUGGGGAUCGAACAGGAUUAGAUACCCUGGUAGUCC